CCCACUUCGUCCGGUGUUUGUUCGCUCUUCGAGUCCAAAUGCCAUAAGCUCUCCUUGUCCGCCGCGGCUUGUACCUGAAAACCACACACAAAACGAACCCAAAAAAAACGAGGGGGGCUGCAAGAUGGAGAGUCUUGGUCUGGGGAGUAACGAAAUUAAAUCUAGAAAAUAACGCAAUUAAAUCGUGAAAAUAUUGUUAAUUUCUCAACAAUAACA
Molecule: long non-coding RNA, 216 nt
Filed under: Nicotiana benthamiana
Lineage: Eukaryota; Viridiplantae; Streptophyta; Magnoliopsida; Solanales; Solanaceae
Description: long non-coding RNA (NBEN_LNC018424)
Source: RNAcentral